RNAcentral lists this transfer RNA (95 nucleotides) under Paractinoplanes tereljensis. RNAcentral describes it as "Actinoplanes tereljensis tRNA-Ser". Lineage: Bacteria; Bacillati; Actinomycetota; Actinomycetes; Micromonosporales; Micromonosporaceae. The record is from RNAcentral.
CUGCGACUCGAUAAGCACCUGGUAGCGGCGCAUGUCGACGAUGUGGUCGACGUGCUCGAUGUCGACCGGGCACUGUUCGACGCAGGCGCCGCAGG